This 437-nucleotide ribosomal RNA is filed under the name Acanthamoeba sp. RNAcentral describes it as "SSU rRNA". It matches the Rfam family "Eukaryotic small subunit ribosomal RNA", at positions 767 to 1096 of the family's 1831-position model. The record is from RNAcentral. Lineage: Eukaryota; Discosea; Longamoebia; Acanthamoebidae.
UUGCGGGUUCAGCAUGCAGAUCCAUUUUCUGCCACCGAAUACAUUAGCAUGGGAUAAUGGAAUAGGACCCUGUCCUCCUAUUUUCAGUUGGUUUUGGCAGCGCGAGGACUAGGGUAAUGAUUAAUAGGGAUAGUUGGGGGCAUUAAUAUUUAAUUGUCAGAGGUGAAAUUCUUGGAUUUAUGAAAGAUUAACUUCUGCGAAAGCAUCUGCCAAGGAUGUUUUCAUUAAUCAAGAACGAAAGUUAGGGGAUCGAAGACGAUCAGAUACCGUCGUAGUCUUAACCAUAAACGAUGCCGACCAGCGAUUAGGAGACGUUGAAUACAAAACACCACCAUCGGCGCGGUCGUCCUUGGCGUCUCGGUCCUUCACGGGGCCGGGGCGCGGGGGCGGCUUAGCCCGGUGGCACCGGUGAAUGACUCCCUAGCAGCUUGUGAGAA